Trichoplusia ni (cabbage looper) is the source of this 2002-nucleotide long non-coding RNA. RefSeq lists it as uncharacterized. The transcript is spliced from 2 exons. NCBI's taxonomy places the organism in Eukaryota, Metazoa, Arthropoda, Insecta, Lepidoptera, Noctuidae. The record is from RefSeq and is a predicted model, not a curated record.
UUUUUUAAUAAUUGUGUUGUUUAAAGUUUGUAUCAUUUUAUUUACGUAAUAUAUGCCACUUCAGCACUUAGUUGUGCGGCAAUUGCGAAUAAUUUCUUUUGUUAUUGUAAUAAAAACUAUUGUUAUAAGUAAGUGGAGAGCCACAUGAUGACUUCAAUUAUUUAAUAUUUCAAUGAAAUCAACAUUACAUGUAAAAGUUUUAGUUUACAAAGUUGUGGCUUAAUCAUGUAUUUGUUUUGCUGCAAGAUAACUUCUAGCAGUAGAUGUUUGUGACAGAAUCUGUAACAACAAACAUUUAUCACAGUUUAAAAACUUGUGUUAAUAGUAUUUUUCUUUAGCCUGUUUUAUUCCUCUCCUAGACAAAGUUUUCUGAAUUUCAUCAAAAUACAUGUUUGUAUUUUGAAAUUUUAAUUAAAAAAUGCCACCAACAAAUUUAUUAUGUUGCAAUAAAAUAUUGUUGACUGUGUACUCAAGCACUGCGAAUGAAAUAUCAUUGAAAAAUCAUGCGAAGUGGAUUGUCUUAAACAUAAUAUUCAUAGACAAGUUUGUAAAACCACUUAGCUUUACAUUGUUCUGAGUUUUAGAAACAAAAGUUUACAAAAUGAAUAAUAUGUUUAUGAAUUUAUGCAAACAAAGAAAACAGUGCUGUUAUGAGUAGGGCACUUGAAAUGUGGUUGUGACUUUAAGACCAACUUUUCUUAUGCUAUUCGUUUAUGAACAUCUUGAACGCAGACUUCUCAUGUUUUAUAUGGUUUCAAUACUCAUUAAAAAACUAAAGAGAUCUGGAGCCUCAAAAUUGUGAUGAAUUUAUAUGAACAGUUUAUUUUGUAAUGGAAAUAUAACUUGGGAAGCUGCUAACUGAUAUUUUUAAAAUAUUUAUUUAAUUAUGAUAUACAUUUUUGUUUAUUAAACUGUUUUAUAAUAGGGCUCUAAUAAUUACUUCAAUGGUGGUACUGAUACUGCUAAAAUGUUAUAAAAGUUAUUCUCAAUUUUAGACAAUUCUUAAAACUAUAGCGCUAUUCCAGUGUUUCCAUGUAAAACUUGAUUGCGAGGUGGUAGUUUUGAAGAAGUUAUUAGUCAAAUCUUUGCGUGUUUAUUUUCUAUUGGAAAUUUGGAUGUGUUGCUUAAAACAAAGAAGAAAUAACCAAUGAAAUGGUGUAGAAACUAAAUGUGAAGAAAUCCUAUAGCUACCCAAAACAAGUAAGCAUUUACUAAACUGAAGAUAUGGAAUUAUGAAAAUGAAUGAAUACUGUUUGGAUCAGAGACAGAAGAUGGGUGAUAUUAAUUUAUUUCACUAAUACUAUAUUACCAGUGCUAAUUUAUUUUAUAAAAACUAUAGAAUUGUUGAUGAAUUGUUGGUGAAUUUAACCAUUGUAUUCUUAAAAUCUCCUGUUUACUUCAAAUGUUUGCAUUUCAUUUGUAAUUUGGAAUUGAAUGAUUAAACUAUAUUGUUAAUAACAGUAAGAGUAUUUUUGGCUGUCUUUUAACUUUUUAAACAUAAUGACAUUGGCAAGCAUGAGGUGUUUAUAGCAUUUAAAUUUGGUCUUAAAAUCACUACAACUUCAUUUAUUCUGUGUUAAAGUUAAAAACUUUAAAUAUAAUUUUUCUCCAAAUGAUUUUUAUAAUACAUUUUAGAAUUUUACAAAUUGUAUGUAACAAAAACUGAAGGGACAAAAUAUGUUCAAAUCAUCAUAUUUCUUACAACUCAAAAACUUUCACAGAUAUUAAACAACAUGGUUUUAGGUCAUAGACAAGUCACUCAUCUUCUCUAAAACAUAACCAAGGCUAAUCAUGACUAUUAUUCUCCUGUUAUGAUGAGCUCCUCACUAGUGGACCACUUGCAUCCUAGGAACUAUUGUUGUAAGAAUUCAUCAUUUCAUUCAAGCUUAGAUAAAUAGUGGUUGCUGACUAUCUUAGUACUAACACUAAUAAGUACUUGUCUGAGUUAAAUAAUAAGUUGUUAUAUUUAAGGUUUUUAUUAAAAUAGUCUUUUUAAAUUCAA